RNAcentral lists this ribosomal RNA (468 nucleotides) under uncultured bacterium. RNAcentral's name for it is "partial 16S ribosomal RNA". It matches the Rfam family "Bacterial small subunit ribosomal RNA", at positions 28 to 507 of the family's 1533-position model. The record is from RNAcentral.
GACGAACGCUGGCGGCGUGCUUAACACAUGCAAGUCGAACGGAAAGGCCCUGCUUUUGUGGGGUGCUCGAGUGGCGAACGGGUGAGUAACACGUGAGUAACCUGCCCUUGACUUUGGGAUAACUUCAGGAAACUGGGGCUAAUACCGGAUAGGAUCUCCUGCUGCAUGGUGGGGGUUGGAAAGUUUCGGCGGUUGGGGAUGGACUCGCGGCUUAUGAGCUUGUUGGUGGGGUAGUUGCUUACCAAGGCUUUGACGGGUAGCCGGCCUGAGAGGGUGACCGGCCACAUUGGGACUGAGAUACGGCCCAGACUCCUACGGGAGGCAGCAGUGGGGAAUAUUGCACAAUGGGCGGAAGCCUGAUGCAGCGACGCCGCGUGCGGGAUGACGGCCUUCGGGUUGUAAACAGCUUUCGCCUGUGACGAAGCGUGAGUGACGGUAAUGGGUAAAGAAGCACCGGCUAACUACGUG